CCCGGGCCUUGUACACACCGCCCGUCAAACCAUGGGAGUUGGUUCUACCCGAAGGUGGUGCGCUAACCCGCAAGGGAGGCAGCCAACCACGGUAGGGUCAGCGACUGGGGUG
Molecule: ribosomal RNA, 112 nt
Filed under: uncultured bacterium
Lineage: Bacteria
Description: partial 16S ribosomal RNA
Rfam family: Bacterial small subunit ribosomal RNA
Source: RNAcentral